This 70-nucleotide transfer RNA is filed under the name Dipodomys ordii (Ord's kangaroo rat). It matches the Rfam family "tRNA". From Rfam's summary of the family: Transfer RNA (tRNA) molecules are approximately 80 nucleotides in length. Their secondary structure includes four short double-helical elements and three loops (D, anti-codon, and T loops). The record is from Rfam by way of RNAcentral. Lineage: Eukaryota; Metazoa; Chordata; Mammalia; Rodentia; Heteromyidae.
GGGAAUGUGGCUUAGUGGUAGAAUGUUUGCCUAACAUGCAUAAAGCCCUAAGUUCAAUUCUUCAGUUCCA